CUUUAGAUUUUCUAUUUGUUAGGCUUUAUUUUUAUCAAUUUAAGAUGUUUAGCGACAAGCUAAGUGGACACAAUUAGACAUGUUUUUUUUACUAAUUCUAUUGUCCGGUAAACACAAACAAGUUGUUGUGUAAACAACCUAUGUCUAGGUAACCUGGUCAAUUAGGGUUCUAUGUCCUGUCCAGCAUAGACCUUUCCACACCCC
Molecule: long non-coding RNA, 204 nt
Filed under: Mytilus galloprovincialis (Mediterranean mussel)
Lineage: Eukaryota; Metazoa; Mollusca; Bivalvia; Mytilida; Mytilidae
Source: RNAcentral